AUUGCCUCAGCAGCUGCGGAGAGAGGAUGCUGCGAAACACAGAGAAAUCUGUAGGGGAGAGAAGACGGAGCGCUCAGAAUUAAACUGCGCUUUUUUAAGAGAGGGGGAGGACCACGUACUUUCAAUGGAAAGACAGGUAAUGAACCUCUGGCUGCAUUAGGAGGGGACAGAAGACUUCUGCAAAAGAUGCUGAUGAUCAUCUAAUCAUCUUUAGGUAGAACUAAUGGGUGUGUAGUUAUCUGUGAUCAUGUGGUCUGGACUAGAAGCCAGAGGGAUUAGGACAGCAGAUUGAACCCAGAAGAAGCGAAGCACUGACACCCUGACUGCACUUCUGGCGAUGCUGUAGCAGCACGGAAUGGUUUGUGGGUUACACAGAGAUGCAGGCCAUACUGUGCUGCCGCAGAAGAGCCUGAAAAUACGACCUCACACCCCUUCAACCUGUGUAACUAGUAACGUGUUUACUGUUCUAAAUGUACACAACUGUUUUCCUGAUGAUUAAAAGUUGUUUGGAUGUGCCUUUGCUGGUCGCCUUACUGUAGCAGCACGUAAAUAUUGGAGUUAAGACUUUAGCUGAAGCCUCCAGUAUUGAUCGUGCUGCUGAAGCAAAGCUGAUCACUCACAAUCAGCACAACCAAGCUAACCCGUCACUACAGGCUGAAUGGGGACGGACACCCACAGGUACAUCGUUUAUGCACAACCACUACUUUGUUCUAAUAGUUCAUGUGUUGAUGCCAUCUUUACAUUUCACUGUUCUGUCUGCACACUUGAAAAAUAAAAAUUUGAAUUGGCUUUUGA
Gymnodraco acuticeps is the source of this 795-nucleotide long non-coding RNA. RefSeq lists it as uncharacterized. The transcript is spliced from 2 exons. The record is from RefSeq and is a predicted model, not a curated record. Lineage: Eukaryota; Metazoa; Chordata; Actinopteri; Perciformes; Bathydraconidae.